CACUGCACUCCAGCCUAGGCGACUGAGCAAGAAUCCGUCUCAAAAAAAAAAACAAACAAAAAAACAAAAAAAAAAACAAAGAAUGUUAUGAGACGACUUUGUAUGCCUCAUUAGAGAGCCAGGACAUCUUCCGUGGAUACGUGGAAUGAGUAGACAUUGACAUGCAACAACGUCAAGAAUGUGUUUUGGUUUUUCUUUGUUUUGUAAAGGGAUACCUUGUUUUAAGGUGAAAAUGAAACCAGUUGAGAAAAGAAAACUAAGACCAUUUAGGGUCUGUUACACAAUUGACAUAUCAGAAUAUGAAGACAAGGUAAAUGAGUAAAACAAGGAAUGAGAAGGAGGGAGCACAUUUAAACAGAAUUUGGAAAAUUGUCUUCCACAAAACUGGCCCUGGUACCAAGAAGUUUGGGGACCGCUGCUGUAGACCACCAAUAUUUGAAUGACGCGUAGAAGAUGAGUCUGCAGAAGACAGAGAAAGAGCUGUCAUGGUGGAAGGUGAAAAGGCAGAACAGAUCCCAGUACUUUGGGAGGCCAAGGCGGGUGGAUCACUUGAGGUCUGGAGUUCAAGACCAGUCUGACCAAUGUGGAGAAACCCCGUCCCUACUAAAAAAAAAUACAAAAUUAGCCAGACGUGGUGGCGCAUGCCUGUAAUCCCAGCUACUCGGAAGGCUGAGGCAAGAGAAUUGCUUGAACCCGGGAGGCGGAGGUUGCGGUGCGCCGAGAUCGCGCCAUUGGACUCCAGCCUGGGCAACAACAGCGAAACUCCGUCAAAAAAAAAAAAAAAAAAAAAAAAAAAAAAAAGGCAGGACGGGAAAGAAUGGCGUCACACACUGAUUUUUAUAAAAGAACUGAAAUGAAAUGCAUCGCUAUCAAGCUCUGUUGUGGUUCCCUUUUCCCAAACAUGAUUCAUGACUAAUAUGUGACUUCUAUUCAUUUUCUUAAGGGCUUGAGAAUUAUAUAAAACUAAUAUAAAAGGCUAGAUUGAGAGCAAAAGCUGAUAAUUACUAAAUGCUGCCUAAAACUUGGCUUCAAUCCAUAUCAUAGAAAAGCUGCAGUGAGACCUGGCACCAGGCUACCUGCGUUCAUAUUUUGGCUCUACCCACAGUACAUAAGUGAUCCUGAACAUGGUGCUAACCCCGCAGUAUGCCUCAUUUUUCUAUGUAUUAAAUGGAUCUCAUUGUUACCCAUCCUCAUCAAAUUAUUGUGUGGAUUAAAUGAGAUGCUAAAAGUCAA
Homo sapiens (human) is the source of this 1233-nucleotide long non-coding RNA. RefSeq lists it as uncharacterized. The record is from RefSeq and is a predicted model, not a curated record. The transcript has 2 exons. Lineage: Eukaryota; Metazoa; Chordata; Mammalia; Primates; Hominidae.